CAUGAAAUUUGGUGCUGUGACUCGGAUCGGGGGACCUCCCUUGGGAGAUCAAUCCCCUGUCCUCCUGCUCUUUGCUCCAUGAGAAAGGUCCACCUACGACCUCAGGUCCUCAGACUGACCAGCCCAAGAAACAUCUCAUCAAGUUCAAAUCCGGACCCAACUGGAAAUCGGACUGUUCAACUCACCUGGCAGCCACUCCCAGAGCCCCUGGAACUCUGGCCCAAGGCUCUCUGACUGACUCCUUCCCAGAUCUUCUCGGCUUAGCGGCUGAAGACCGACGCUGCCGGAUCGCCUCGGAAGCCCCGUAGACCAUCACGGACGCCGAGCUUUAAGUAACUCUCACAGUGGACGCAUCCUUAAGAGUAAGAACUAUUAUUAUCAUCAUUUUACAAAUGAGGAAACUGAAGCACAGAAAUGUCAAGUGGCUUUCCCAAGGUCAUACAGCAAGUAAGUCACAGAAUCAGGAUUUGGAUCUAGGAAGAGAGCCUUCAGAGUCCUUGUUUUAAUUAUUUGCUCUACCAAGAAGAAAAAGAAGAGAGAAAAAAAAGAAAAUGAAGAAUACAGACAGGCAGGUUAAUGAGAGAAAAAGAUAAAUAAUGAAGAACAAAAAGCAAGGAGCAAUAUUCUGAAGAGUUACAGACAUGAUGGAAUAAACAGCAAGUUGUCAAAAGGAGCUGCAAAUGCCCAUGUACGCCCUUUCAGUAGCGCUAGACUAUCUGCAUGAGACAGAGAGUAAAUCCUGAUGCCAUCACUCAAACUAGACCUACAAGUGCCUCGAGUUCUUACAGAUCCCCAUCUUUCUGGGCAAAAUAUCCAUCCUUCAAAUCAUUCCACAGGUUAAAGAACAAAUGUCAGGUUACACUCUUGAAUAGUACAGUCCUAUUUUCUCCCAUAAAUGCCUGCAUAGGACGUCUUCUUCAUAUGGACCCUAAAAUAUUUCUACAAGUAGUAGACGUUUUUUAGAACUGCAAUAAAGUAAUGUAAUAAAUGCA
This is a long non-coding RNA of Pan troglodytes (chimpanzee), 992 nucleotides long. RefSeq lists it as uncharacterized. The record is from RefSeq and is a predicted model, not a curated record. Lineage: Eukaryota; Metazoa; Chordata; Mammalia; Primates; Hominidae. The transcript has 3 exons.